CCACUCUUUGCAGGAGGCAGUUAUGAGACGUGAAGAUGAGUAUCUUGUAAAGAGGGAUAGGAGAAUUGGAGGGCAAGUUUGGUGCCAGCAGCCGCGGUAAUACCGACUCCAAGAGUGUGUAUGAGAGAUGCUGCAGUUAAAAAGUCCGUAGUCAUAGAAGGGCAAAGAGAGAUGCGAGGUCUCACAGUGCGAUGAUGGAGGAGCCGAUGGGGAACAUAGUAUACCAGGGCGAGAGAUGAAAUGCCAAGACCCCUGGUGGACUGAGCGAGGCGAAGGCGAUGUUCUUGUAGGCAUUCGGUGAUCAAGGACGAAGGCUGGAGUAUCGAAAGUGAUUAGAUACCGCAGUAGUUCCAGCAGUAAAAGAUGCCGACAUGCUCAUUGGACACAGUGGGCAGGGAGAAAUCUUAGAGUUCGGGCUCUGGGGAUAGUAUGCUCGCAAGGGUGAAAAUUAAAGAAAUUGACGGAGCUACACCACAAGGAGUGGAUUGUGCGGCUUAAUUUGACUCAACGCGAGGAAACUUACCAGGGCCAAGUAUUGUGUAGAAACGAGCAAUACAGGAGUGGUGCAUGGUCGUUGGAAAUUGAUGGGAUGACUUUGACCUUAAAUGGUUGAAUGAGUGAGAUCUUUUGGACAUGUUCCGCACGGAACAGGAAGGAAAAGGCUAUAACAGAUCCGAGAUGCCCUCAGAUGCCCUGGGCUGCACGCGCAAUACAAUAGCAGGUAGAGAGAGAGACAGGAAGGUGCUCAGAUGGACUAUGUGCUGUAAGGCACAUACGAAAGAGGAAUUCCUAGUAAGUGUGUAUCAACA
RNAcentral lists this ribosomal RNA (809 nucleotides) under Vittaforma corneae. Its description in RNAcentral is "SSU rRNA". It matches the Rfam family "Microsporidia small subunit ribosomal RNA", at positions 304 to 1156 of the family's 1311-position model. The record is from RNAcentral. Lineage: Eukaryota; Fungi; Microsporidia; Nosematidae.